GCGAGUUUCGACUCUCAAACCACUGUGCAUCAAUACUAUUUCUGCUGAGGCGGGCCGCUCGCUCGGGGAGCUUAGGCCUGUAAAGGUGGUCCGCCGAAGCAUCUUUUACGCUCUUUUAAACUGUAAAGAGAAAACUUUCAAAAAAUCA
RNAcentral lists this unclassified non-coding RNA (148 nucleotides) under uncultured fungus. RNAcentral describes it as "sequence contains ITS1, 5.8S rRNA gene". Lineage: Eukaryota; Fungi. The record is from RNAcentral.